UCACAUUGCUAUUGAAAGACAUUUUAG
RNAcentral lists this small RNA (27 nucleotides) under Bombyx mori (domestic silkworm). RNAcentral's name for it is "ovarian small RNA-25082". The record is from RNAcentral. Lineage: Eukaryota; Metazoa; Arthropoda; Insecta; Lepidoptera; Bombycidae.